This 606-nucleotide ribosomal RNA is filed under the name uncultured bacterium. RNAcentral describes it as "bacterial SSU rRNA". It matches the Rfam family "Bacterial small subunit ribosomal RNA", at positions 8 to 611 of the family's 1533-position model. The record is from RNAcentral.
AGAGUUUGAUCCUGGCUCAGAUUGAACGCUGGCGGCAUGCCUUACACAUGCAAGUCGAACGGUAACAGGUCUUCGGAUGCUGACGAGUGGCGAACGGGUGAGUAAUACAUCGGAACGUGCCCGAGAGUGGGGGAUAACGAAGCGAAAGCUUUGCUAAUACCGCAUACGAUCUCAGGAUGAAAGCAGGGGACCGCAAGGCCUUGCGCUCACGGAGCGGCCGAUGGCAGAUUAGGUAGUUGGUGGGAUAAAAGCUUACCAAGCCGACGAUCUGUAGCUGGUCUGAGAGGACGACCAGCCACACUGGGACUGAGACACGGCCCAGACUCCUACGGGAGGCAGCAGUGGGGAAUUUUGGACAAUGGGCGCAAGCCUGAUCCAGCCAUGCCGCGUGCAGGAUGAAGGCCUUCGGGUUGUAAACUGCUUCUGUACGGAACGAAAAGACUCUGGUUAAUACCUGGGGUCCAUGACGGUACCGUAAGAAUAAGCACCGGCUAACUACGUGCCAGCAGCCGCGGUAAUACGUAGGGUGCGAGCGUUAAUCGGAAUUACUGGGCGUAAAGCGUGCGCAGGCGGUUAUAUAAGACGGAUGUGAAAUCCCCGGGCUCA